Molecule: ribosomal RNA, 496 nt
Filed under: uncultured bacterium
Lineage: Bacteria
Description: partial 16S ribosomal RNA
Rfam family: Bacterial small subunit ribosomal RNA
Source: RNAcentral
AUGAACGCUGGCGGCGUGCCUAAUACAUGCAAGUCGAGCGAACAGAUGAGGAGCUUGCUCCUCUGACGUUAGCGGCGGACGGGUGAGUAACACGUGGAUAACCUACCUAUAAGACUGGGAUAACUUCGGGAAACCGGAGCUAAUACCGGAUAAUAUAUUGAACCGCAUGGUUCAAUAGUGAAAGACGGUUUUGCUGUCACUUAUAGAUGGAUCCGCGCCGCAUUAGCUAGUUGGUAAGGUAACGGCUUGCCAAGGCAACGAUGCGUAGCCGACCUGAGAGGGUGAUCGGCCACACUGGAACUGAGACACGGUCCAGACUCCUACGGGAGGCAGCAGUAGGGAAUCUUCCGCAAUGGGCGAAAGCCUGACGGAGCAACGCCGCGUGAGUGAUGAAGGUCUUCGGAUCGUAAAACUCUGUUAUUAGGGAAGAACAAAUGUGUAAGUAACUAUGCACGUCUUGACGGUACCUAAUCAGAAAGCCACGGCUAACUACGUG